UACGUAGGGUGCAAGCGUUAAUCGGAAUUACUGGGCGUAAAGCGUGCGCAGGCGGUGAUGUAAGACAGAUGUGAAAUCCCCGGGCUCGACCUGGGAACUGCAUUUGUGACUGCAUCGCUGGAGUGCGGCAGAGGGGGAUGGAAUUCCGCGUGUAGCAGUGAAAUGCGUAGAUAUGCGGAGGAACACCGAUGGCGAAGGCAAUCCCCUGGGCCUGCACUGACGCUCAUGCACGAAAGCGUGGGGAGCAAACAGG
This 253-nucleotide ribosomal RNA is filed under the name uncultured bacterium. RNAcentral describes it as "partial 16S ribosomal RNA". It matches the Rfam family "Bacterial small subunit ribosomal RNA", at positions 524 to 776 of the family's 1533-position model. The record is from RNAcentral.